CUCAAUGGGGUCAUGGGAGGAGCCAAUGGGGUCAGUGGGACUCAAUGGGGUCAGUGGGGUCGUGGUGGGAAGCGAUGGGGUCAGUGGGACUCAAUGGGGUCAGUGGGGUCGUGGUGGGAAGCGAUGGGGUCAGUGGGACUCAAUGGGGUCAGUGGGACUCAAUGGGGUCAUGGUGGGACCCAGUGGGGUCAAUAGGACUCAAUGGGGUCAUUGAGGCUCAAUGGAGUCAAUGGGACUCAAUGGGAUCCAUGGGGUUAAUAGGCUCAUGGUGGGUCCCAGUAGGGUCAUGGUGGGACCCAAUGGGGUCAAUAGGGUCAUGGUGGGACCCAGUGAGAUCAAUAGGACCCAAUGGGGUCAGUGGGGCUCAAUGUGGUCAAUGGGACUCAAUAGGAUCAUGGUGGGACCCAGUGGGGUCAAUGGGACUCAAUGGGGUCAAUGGGGUUAAUAGGAUCAUGGUGGUACCCAGUAGGGUCACGGUGGGACCCAGUGGGGUCAAUGGAGCUCAAUGGGGUCAAUAGGACUCAAUAGGGUCAUGGUGGGACCCAGUGGGAUCAAUGGGACCCAAUGGGGUCAAUGGGGCUCAAUGGAGUCAGUGGGACUCAAUAGGAUCAUGGUGGGACCCAGUACCCAGUAGGGUCAUGGUGGGACCCAAUGGGGUCAAUGGAACUCAAUGGGGUCAAUGGGACUCAAUAGGGUCAUGGUGGGGCCCAGUGGGAUCAAUAGGACCCAAUGGGGUCAGUGGGGCUCAAUGUGGUCAAUGGGACUGAAUAGGGUCAUGGUGGGACCCAGUAGGGUCAUGGUGGGACCCAAUGGGGUCAAUGGGGCUCAAUGUGGUCAAUGGGACUCAAUAGGAUCAUGGUGGGACCCAGUACCCAGUAGGGUCACGGUGGGACCCAGUGGGGUCAAUGGAGCUCAAUGGGGUCAAUGGGACUCAAUAGGGUCACGGUGGGACCCAGUGGGGUCAAUAGGACUCAAUGCGGUCAAUGGGACUCAAUAGGGUCAUGGUGGGACCCAGUACCCAGUAGGGUCAUGGUGGGACCCAGUGGGGUCAAUGGGACUCAAUGGGGUCAAUGGGACUCAAUAGGGUCAUGGUGGGGCCCAGUGGGGUCAGUGGGGCUCAAUGGGGUCAAUGGGACUCAAUAGGAUCAUGGUGGGACCCAGUAGGGUCAUGGUGGGACCCAGUGGGGUCAAUGGGGCUCAAUGGGAUCCAUGGGACUCAAUGGGGUCAAUGGGGUUAAUAGGCUCAUAGUGGGUCCCAGUAGGGUCAUGGUGG
RNAcentral lists this long non-coding RNA (1273 nucleotides) under Phasianus colchicus (ring-necked pheasant). RNAcentral's name for it is "lncRNA (ENSPCLG00000015253.1)". The record is from RNAcentral. Lineage: Eukaryota; Metazoa; Chordata; Aves; Galliformes; Phasianidae.